AGGAUUAUAGUUAAAAAAAUAACAUUUUAAUUGCAUUAAAAAAUUACUAUAUAAUUAAUCUUA
This 63-nucleotide transfer RNA is filed under the name Xenos vesparum. RNAcentral describes it as "tRNA-Ala". Lineage: Eukaryota; Metazoa; Arthropoda; Insecta; Strepsiptera; Xenidae. The record is from RNAcentral.